Molecule: non-coding RNA, 222 nt
Organism: Pelobates cultripes (western spadefoot toad)
Lineage: Eukaryota; Metazoa; Chordata; Amphibia; Anura; Pelobatidae
Source: the annotation of a GenBank genome assembly
CUUUAUUUCCCUGAUUUUCCAGAAUCUUUUUAAGAUUACUUGAGAUUUUAUUAAGCUGGAAAUCCAAGAAUUUCGCAAAAAAAUAAAUAAAAAUUCUUAGAUAUGUGAAGAUCUCGUUGUUAUCAAUCCCAAACUCUGAUUGUAGCUGAUUGAAUGUCUUAAUUUCCUUUCUCUCAAUAAUUCCCUUCUGUGACCAUCCGCUAAUAUUCAGAUCUUCAAUAU